UUGACCUCGGAUCAGGUAGGGAUACCCGCUGAACUUAAGCAUAUCAAAGCGGGAAAAGAAUUAUUCCUGAUGGAUUGCCUCAUAACGGCGAGUGAAGCGGCAGCAAGCUCUAUGGUGCCGGCUCUCGAUCAGUGAGUGCCCGUGGGGGCGGGUGAUGAAGCGUGGGGGAAAGAGAAGGUUGACGAGUUAAAUGAAUC
RNAcentral lists this ribosomal RNA (197 nucleotides) under Polyblastidium hypoleucum. RNAcentral's name for it is "Heterodermia hypoleuca partial 28S ribosomal RNA". It matches the Rfam family "Eukaryotic large subunit ribosomal RNA", at positions 1 to 196 of the family's 3401-position model. The record is from RNAcentral. Lineage: Eukaryota; Fungi; Ascomycota; Lecanoromycetes; Caliciales; Physciaceae.